Molecule: non-coding RNA, 5265 nt
Organism: Sus scrofa (pig)
Lineage: Eukaryota; Metazoa; Chordata; Mammalia; Artiodactyla; Suidae
Source: RefSeq, a predicted model, not a curated record
GGAGGCUCGAUCCUCCCACCAUGUUGCUGCCCUAGACGCGCGUGCACGUUCCUGCCUUCCAACGGGAAGGCAGGAGCACCCUCCCAGAGGCCACAAGUUCCCCAGUGGCAACUCAGGCUUCCAUCCCUGACAGGCCAAGGCAAUUGCCUAAGCAGCUUUUUAUGCUUCAUUUUUUCCAGCUAGAAAAACAAGGACACUUCACUUCCUCACAGGGGUGAUCUGAGGACAUAUCAGCCAAUUUCUGAAAACCACCUAAAGAGUUUGACCAGAAGAGCUGGCAUCUGGAGACGGCAACGAAGUUUCAAAACUGUGGAAGGGAAGACGCAGGUAUUCUCGUCAUUUGAGCCUGGUUGAUAGUAAGGACUCCUGAAUCAGAAAACCCUGAUUUUGAACCCAACUGUAAUACUUAUGGCCAUGGCCAUUGGUAAGUUGAGUAAGGCUCCGGUUUGCCCAUUUCUUUCAUUUUCUUUCCUUUUUUUUUUUUUUGCUUUUUAGGGCCGAACCUAAAAACGCAUAUGGAGGUUCCCAGGCUAGGGGUCAAAUCGGAGCUAUAGGUGCCAGCCUACACCACAGCCACAGGAAUACGGGAUCCAAGCUGCAUCAGCUUAGGGCAGCGCCAGAUCCCUAAUGCACUUAGCGAGGCCAGGGAUCAAACCCACAUCCUCGUGGAUUCCAGUGGGAUUCAGUUCAGCUGCACCAUGAAGGUAACUCCCCAGGUUGCCCAUUUCUAAAAUGAGGUCUAAUAAUCCCUAAUUUACAGCUUUGCCCUGGGGAUUAAGUGUAAAACAUGCAUAGAAUCUGUGUGGCUCCGUGCCUGCCACCCAGUAGGGACUUGCUCAUCCAGCAUCUAUUAUUUAUUACAAACGCAAAUUGGGGGGGGGGGGUAAGCGCACUGUGCAGUUUGCCCUGCUCCCUCUGGGAGUGACCCUGGGUGCACACUUGCCUAUAAAUUACUCCAGGAGGUUUGACAAACGGCUGCAGGAUCACCCUCGAGGCACUGCACCUUUCCUUGAGUAUCAGUGACCCCAAUUUCAGCUGGGGGGGGAUAAAUCUUCUUCCAUUUUAAUAAAAUUUCUCAGGAGUUAAUGGCAAGUAGGAAUGUCACUGGAGGAAGCCUCUGGAAACUGCAGAGCUGAGCGUGGGGAGUGUCCCAGGGGGCCAACCUCUGAGAAGAUGCCCGUGUACUGUGAUGGGGAACAUUUUGAACCUGAAACAGGAGGAAUGUGGUGGGGAAGGUGGGGCGAAUUCAAUCUCCUCAGCCUCCCCCACACAAAUCAAUCACAAAGGAAAUGGGCAUUUGAGGAAAAAGUUCCUUUAAAAUGUAUUGCUAUUUGUAUUUCUAUUACCUCAUCUCAUAAAUCUCGUUUCCCGCGUCCUAUGAUUCCUUGAGCAGAACAGCCCGGAUCUUUUACAGUCUCUUAAUGGGCUCAUUUUUUUUUUGACUCUUUGAGACAGACAAAGGAGUCUUGGAAUCCACCAGAUGGGAACGGGAGCAGGUUAGAGGACCAACUAGAGGGUCACUUCAGACGCAGAAAAGCUGAUGGGAAGCUGACCUUCCAGACAUCUUCAAGUUACUGAAAUUUUUGACUUCCCUUCUGAAGAAGAUUUCAAGGCAAUAAAAACAUAAUCAGAAGGUCUAUGUUAUAACUUACUUAAGACUGCUUUGUUUCAUGUUCAGCAUCCAUAUGUCCUGAAGUUUAUUCAACGGGUACUGUUCCCCCUAUUUUACUGUUCAAUUGUAUUUCAUUCCACUGUUUGGAUAGCAUCGAUGUGUCCACAAACUUCCCAUAUUUUAGCUACCAAAGGAUAUAAUCCAGUUUGCCUCACAUCCCCCACAUUAUAAAAAAUGCGAUAAUUUUUGGUUGAGGAAAUAAAACCAUUGCAAUAUACACCCUUUCUUUUGCAAAUGAGGAAAGUUGGAUCUUACUACAGGUUGGUGUCAGCACCAUGAGGCUGAAAUCCAGUUUUUCUGACCCUUGAUACAUCACUCCCUUCUCCUACACUAGGCAGCCAUCAUAUUCACUGCAAGCUCUUAAAAGCCUUUGUUCAAAAAAGUUGAAGAAGCACUUUAAUCCCGACAAUAUAUCCCAGAACCCCCAGCCCUGUCUCGUUACAGAGAAGAAAAAUCAAGUUGAAUGCUAUGUACAUAAUGUCAUGGAGGCAUUCUCUUUAUUUUAUCGAUCUAAAUUUUUAUUUUUAAUUUUUUUAUUUUACGUGUAUAUGUGUCAUCAGCACAUCCUCUUCCUUCAAACAUGCAGAAUCAGGUCUGAUUGUUUUUGCAUCCACAGGAGGCUUAUUGCGUCAAGUCUUGGCAUCUCUACUUGAUUUAAAACAAAGCACUUUGUGGAGAUAAUAAGAUACUCAAAACUCUUCUUGUCCAGGUCCAGCACCUGCCAUGUUCCAGGAACUAUACUAGCUAUUAGGUAUUAGAAGUUAAUAAAAAGUUGAAGGCCCUACCCUCUUAGAAUUUAGAGUUGGACUUAAGCAUCCUGAGCACGAGCGUCUAAGAAGGGCUCUUAGGCUGUCCAGGUCUCGAAAACCCAAGGUCUGGCACAGUUUAAUUAAAUGACCAUCCUUCCCAAUUAGCCGUGAAAAACACUGCUUGUAUAACUAUGUCAUUAUCACUUCCUGCCUGGAUUAGUGUAAUCCGUGAUAUGCAGGCCUUCUGUGCUCCAGCAUUUCCUCUGGGGAUUUGCAACUUUUGCAAAACCCGAGCUUUAGAAUGCAGGCUGGAGCCAAAAGUUCAUUACUCACUUCACUCCUAUGCCAAGCAAGCUUCAUGGGCUUCCUUGACAGUGCAGCACGCACAGUACAUGUUCUGUAGUUCAAAGGAUGAGCAGAAAGCUCUUCCCCAGACCUGGGGCUGUCUUGGCAGUUUAAGUACACACUUCUCUCACCCCAAGCAAAAGGUGGCAAGUGCCAGCCCCAGACAACAUAUGUGUUCAUCUCCUGUUGCCUGUCAAGAAAAAGCUAGAUGCUAUAGAAAUGAUUCCGACCUCAGCGGGACUGGCUGGGCCCUUUCUUGCAACUCCACAGUUUUGUUUUUUAGAACAGCUACUCCCUGGGGGACUUCCUCAGGUAGGACAACGGUCUUUAGGACCACGAUGUUCAUUUUUUUCUAUCAGAAACUCACUUUUCUUUUUUCAGAAAUGAAGUAAUACUAGAGAUCAAGCAGAAAUAUUUCAGACAAGGAAGCGGAAGCUGAGAGAAGCAGAGAGCAUGCUUUAGCCAAGGUCACAGCUAGGACUAGACUCUGCGUCUCCUAAUUGAUCUAAAGAACUACUGUGUCUUCUCUGAUAAAUAGUUCUGAUUCCAGUGACCUGUGCCAUAUGGCCACCUUCUCCCUCUGUAUUUAUAGGAAGGACCAUUUCUAUGUGUAGGCUGUUGAACUCCUCUGUGCCGUAAUGGAAAGGUCCUGAAAGCUAGACACCAUUUCUCAUUGAUAAUAUUGCUCAGGUAUUACCUCAAAAUAGAUUGUCAGCACCAGAGCAGGAGAAAAGCCCAUGAAAGGCUAUUCCAGCUUUUGAAAACACCACCAGCAUUUUCACAAAGCCAAACUGCAUGAGACAGAUCAAAGAGCAUUACACUGCCUUCUGGUUAUGGGUCACUCUAUCUCUGUGAAUCUAGUCACAAAAGCACAGAAAUUCAGAGCUGGGAGGGACUUCACAGAUCAUCUUGUCAACUCCUUCAGUUUAAAGGUGAAGAAAAGGAGACCCAGAGAACACGGGAGACUCGCCCCAGGCCAUAGAACUAGUUAUAAGGAAACUGGCCUGUCCUUUCCCCUCUGUCACGCUGUCCCAUAACAAAAGGCUUACGCCACCUGAUAGAUCCAGUGGUUGGGCCAACAAGACUCUUGCUAUUCAGCUCUUGAUGUGAAUUUCCUAAGAACAUAAGAUGCUUUUGAUUUUUUUUAAAGAGUGAUACAGAUUGUGACAAAGCCCCAAAGGGACCUCGUCCAAAGCAAGAGAAUUGCACAAGCCAAUGUGCAACAAAUUCCUGGGCAUGAUACAGAAAAAAAGAAGAAAGAGGAAGAAGAGAAAGAAGAAGAGGAGGGGGGAAGGGGAAGAAGAAGAAAAAGAACAAGAAGAAGAAGGGGAAGAGGAGGAAGAAGAAGGACAAGGAGAAGAAGAAGAGGAAGAGAAAGAGGAAGAAGCAGCAUCAUCAGCAGCAGCUGCCACCUAUCUCCCAACAUAGAAAAAGAAGAAAACCACCCCAUCAUGGUCUCAAAAGAAGUCUAAUCUUUGAAGUAUGAUGCUUUAAGACAGCUAGCGUGGCACUUUCAUAACUAAAGUGAGUACCAAAAAUGUCAAAUUCUAGUUUAAAAACAGUAAGACUCCCCACAGAACUGAUUAGGGGGAAAACCUACCCACCCUUUCUACUUUCCUCUUCACUUAACUUGGGUAAUAUAUUUCCCUAAAUGUCUAGCACCCAAAACCUCCAAGGGCAAGAACUUUGUUAAAAUAACCUUUCUUACUUUAAAAAUCAUACAUACUUUUUUAUAGAAAAUGUGUAAAAAUACAGAAAGUUAUCAAGAAGAGAACCAAAUCGAUCUAUACAUUUACUAUCUGUACAAAAAAUACUGUACUUUUUAAAAUUAAAAUUAAAGAUAUUUACCAGUAUUUUAGUUAGGCAUGCAUAUACCUAGAUAUUUUUCAAAUAAAUUGGCCUCACAUCAUUAUAUAUUGUCAUGUAGCCUGUUUCUGCUUGUUUUCACAUUACAACUUAGCAGGAUUUUUUUUUUCCCCCUAAGGAGUUAUCAAACUUUAGUGAACAUCAGAAUCACCUGGAAGGCUUGUUAAGACAGAGGGCUGAGUCCCAAUUCCGGUUUCUAAUGUAAUACCUGUAGGCUAGAGAUCCAUAAUUUGUAUUUCUAACAAGUUUCCAGGAGAUAUUGCUGUUGCUGGUCUGGGAAACACACUGGGAGAACCAUGGUCCUAUUAUAACAGAACUUCAAAAUCAUGGCUGUAGGAGUUCCUGUUGUGGUUCCUUGGUAACCAACCUGACUAGUAUCCACCAGGCUUCGAGUUCCAUCCCUGGCCUUGCUCAGUGGUUUCAGGAUCUGGCGUUGCUGUGAGCUGUGGCGUAGACCAGCAGCUACAGCUCCAGUUCAAUCCCUAGUCUGGGAACUUCCAUGUGCCAUGGGUACAGCCCAAAAAACCAAACAAACAAACAAACAAAAAAAAUCCUGUCUACAGACAUACUAGAGCCAAUACUACUUUAGUAGUUUAUUAAGUGGGUAUGGUAGAUGAUAGGCAUUUUGACUUU